AUUGAACGCUGGCGGCAGGCCUAACACAUGCAAGUCGAACGGUAUCAGGAAACAGCUUGCUGUUUCGCUGACGAGUGGCGGACGGGUGAGUAAUGUCUGGGAAACUGCCUGAUGGAGGGGGAUAACUACUGGAAACGGUAGCUAAUACCGCAUAACGUCGCAAGACCAAAGAGGGGGACCUUCGGGCCUCUUGCCAUCGGAUGUGCCCAGAUGGGAUUAGCUAGUAGGUGGGGUAACGGCUCACCUAGGCGACGAUCCCUAGCUGGUCUGAGAGGAUGACCAGCCACACUGGAACUGAGACACGGUCCAGACUCCUACGGGAGGCAGCAGUGGGGAAUAUUGCACAAUGGGCGCAAGCCUGAUGCAGCCAUGCCGCGUGUAUGAAGAAGGCCUUCGGGUUGUAAAGUACUUUCAGCGGGGAGGAAGGGAGUAAAGUUAAUACCUUUGCUCAUUGACGUUACCCGCAGAAGAAGCACCGGCUAACUCCGUG
This 490-nucleotide ribosomal RNA is filed under the name uncultured bacterium. RNAcentral describes it as "partial 16S ribosomal RNA". It matches the Rfam family "Bacterial small subunit ribosomal RNA", at positions 30 to 507 of the family's 1533-position model. The record is from RNAcentral.